Molecule: ribosomal RNA, 4293 nt
Filed under: Triticum aestivum (bread wheat)
Lineage: Eukaryota; Viridiplantae; Streptophyta; Magnoliopsida; Poales; Poaceae
Description: partial small subunit ribosomal RNA
Source: RNAcentral
GAACUCGUCGUUGGCUGGCUGAUGGUCCGGUGAGUAAGAAGGGAAGCGGCUGCGAGCACGCCACCGGUGUUGGGUCGAUGGUGUCGUGCCUCGGCGGCCGGGGUGAGGCAGAGUAGAUGGGAAGCAGCGGCUCCCCUAUCCCCCGAGCUCCAGAUCCAUGGCGGCAGCAGCAGCAAGGUUUUCCUCUGGAAUAUGGAUAAUUUUAACAUGGAUACUAAACCAGAAGAACAUACGAACUUUGUAACGGACAUAAGAUUCAGACCGAAUUCGACUCAGUUGGCUACAUCAUCUUCUGAUGGAACUGUUCAACUAUGGAACGUUGUUGAAGCAUUUUCUUCUACUUUCUCAAUAUGUGUUUCUCAUUAGUAAUUGUGAAUUUCCUUAUUUGCUGCAAGUUCUGGCUUUUUUUUGGGUGCAUUUCACUGCCUACUAUUGACACUGGAAUGUAAACUUUUGCUCUUUGAUUGUGGCAAGAGAUCAUUGCAAACUUGAGUUACUCUCCUAUGCAUGUUACUGGACCUUUGGAUGAGAUGUGGAUGGAUCAGAUUUAGAAAGAUAAUAGGAGGCACAUAGAUAACCUGUUGACCCGUGAGUUGGCUAUUCCAUUCAUGUGUCUCAUGUCUUUCUAGAUCUUAGUAAGCUAUUACAUGUUUACACCCAAAAUCCCAAAUAUUUGCACUGCAUAUUUCACUUAUAUAUGGGCAUACGUAAGUGACAGUCUUGUAAAUAAGAUGAUGCUCUCCUAUCUUUUAGUGUAAAAGGGGAACACAUUUACCUCUUUUUUUAUCAAGUGUCCAGCUUUUGGAGCUCCACAGAAAACUGAUGUCUUAAAUGUAAAGAGCCGAACUGAAGAUCUAAGCCUUAUUGUACAUUUAGUUCCAAUAUUUUAUUGUUCAAUGUAAUCUGAAAUAAUAUUGUAUCAGGCCAUCGUUUGUAGUGGCUGUCCAGUAACCAAAUUGCAAGUCAAGUACUUUUGAUGAUUAUGGAGUCUAAUGGGUUAAAGCUGACCGAAAGCUAAAAUUGUCUCUUCUUUGGGCAUACAAAAAUUGUUGAUGGAUUUAGUUUGAUUUGUUUAUUACUGUGUGACCCAAUAACUCUGUUCUUUUGUUGUCUGUCUUUUUUUGAUACACAUGAUUGUUGAUUGGACACAAACAGGUUUAGUCAGAUUGAGCUUGAACAUGCAGGUUUAGCAUACAGUUGGUUGAUAUAAUUGUAGGAAACCAAACUUGAAGCAUCAAUUCGCUAAUCAUGUGCGCAUAUAGUUUUAUAUUGACUUAUGUUUCACUUCACCAUGUUAGUAUUAACUGCCUGAUACCUAAAUCCAUCGUUUUGCAGUGAACCGGCGCAUUACAAACAUUUCUUGGGCAUUCCUCCCAUGUGACAUCAGUAGAUUUCCACCCGAAAUUAACAUAGAUUCUAUGCUCGUGUGACAACAAUGGAGAGCUCCGGUUCUGGACAGUUGGUUAAAUUGGAGCUUCAAUACCCCCUCCUACUUCCUCUAGUACGACGUCAGUGUUGGUCCGCUAACCGUCUUGCCCGUUGCCUAAGAAGAGGACUCCCGGGAAGCAUGACGCCGAUGCGACGGGAAAGGACAAGGCGGGGAAGGAUAAGACAUCUGGAUGAGAAGAAAAAGAAGCGCAAGACUGGCAAGGUCGAGACUCAUCUUGAAUUCCCUGGACGUGAAAAGGUCAAAUUUGGUUUAAGUUGUUGAAGCUCCACCAAAGCUAUCAUUCCCAAAGGUCCCUUCUCUUCUCACAUCCUUGUAUGUUAUUAGAUUUGGUUGGGUUCGUAUGAAAGGUUGUAUGAACUUUUGAAGGACGCCCCAUAUACUUCAGUGCUUGUAUGUUUCUCUUAGAUUCUUAUAUGGUCUGAUCUCUUCCCAUAGGAAUUUGACUGUUGGCAUUUGUUGUUACCAAAUAGAUCAAUUUUCAACCAUUUAGAAAUGAGAACUUGACUUCUUGUAAUUGCCAAUUUGGUGUACAUGAUUUGACAAUGAAAAAUAAUGUUAUAUGAUGAAUGAAUGAUGUUUUUAGCAGCCAAAUUGACGUUUCACAUUGGGCUCUCUUAUUCUUACAGCACACUGUUGCUGGGUUUUUUAUGGCUGGAGUAUAGGCAAUGUUGCUCUGCGCAAGAAACAAAUUACCUUUCUUGUGGAUAAUAGUACUAUGCUGAUCUUGUUAACCUAGCAUUGUUAGUAAACAGUUGACAUAAGAUCUCUGUAAAAAAUUAUAUUUGUCGUCUAUGGAAUUAUGUUGAAUGGUUGCCAACAGAAUGUUUGAAGAAUUGCUUGUUUAUUUGCUGAAUUUGGUCCACUUUUUGAUGAAAAGGAGCCUUGUAUGUAAUCCAUCAGUUGUGCAUGCAUGUAUGUUAUCAAUUAGAGCUAAAAUUUCAUGGAAAGGGCGCCACCCUACCUGGCACCGUACAAACUUCCCCUCAGGUGGCGCCACCGGGUGGCGCCCCAACCACUAGUUCUACGUCAAAGCAGCCUACUCUCCGACCGCAGGGGGCGAAGCGCCAGCCCCGGUCUGCCUCGUCUUCUUCCGUCGCCUUAGGGCCAUUAAGGUGUGAUGGAAGUCGGCCUUUGCCGAUGGAAGGACUUCGUUUCUACUUCCUCCGUUUUUACAUAUAAGUUUUUUUUAAAGAUUCUGUUAUAGAUUACAUACGAAGCAAAAUAAAUGCAUCUACACUCUUGAAUAUGUCUAUAUAUAUUCGUGUGUAGUUCGUAUUGAAAUCUCUAAAAUAACAUAUAUUUAGAAGUGGAGGGGGGUAUUUUUCUGAGUUUUUCUAGGGUUUGUAUCCUGCUCAGGGAGAUAAGGCGGUGGCGGCUCUCUAAAGAUGGAAUAAGGUUCUUCCCGCUCCAGUGGUGCUUCUAAUGGAGAUUUAUAUGGCAGAUCUCAUGAGAUUCAGUCGCCCUUUGUCUCAGGGGUGACAUGGAUACUUCCUGAGCGCUUCGCUAACUCCGAGAUUGCCCCGGAAGCAGUAUAUGCACUUCUGGGCAUUGUAAGUUCUGUCAACCAGCAUAUAAUUGAGACACCAACUGAUGGUCACUCACUGGCCUCCAAGGAACAAUCUAUCCCAUGGGCUCUUGUUGUAUCUAUACUCAAGGAUGUCGAAGCAGUUGUUGAAGUUGCCGCCCAGCACUUUGUUGGAGAUGAUCGCAAAUGGGGCUUCCUUGCUGUUACAGAAGCAGUGAAAGCAUGUGUCAGGUUAGCCGCUUUCAGGGAGAAUGGCUACAGGAUGCUCCUACAAGGAGGGGAGGUGGAAAACGAAGAGGAGGAUGUUCUUGAAGACAAUCAGGGAGUCAAGACUAAUGGAGUGCCAGUAAUCUAUCCGGUCAAUGGACAUUCCCAAAAUGGCCAUUGGAUCAUGUCUGAUGGUCCGGAUGGAAAACCUGGAAUUAUAUCUAAGACUCUGGAGGGAAGAGCAGUAGCUGCUUUAAACAGGUUUGGUCAGAAUGCAAAGAUGUUGUCAGAUCCCACGUGGAUGAGCAGGCUCCAACCUUCUCCUGUUCCUCCUGUGAUGGAGAUUGAGAAGCCAACUCUCGCAACCAUUUGGUCUUCUAAAGGGAUUUCUGGGCGCUUAUUCAUGUUAGGGGAGGCCGUCCACAUAUUCAGACCACUUGUAUACGUACUCUUGAUUAGAAAGUUUGGCAUCAAAUCUUGGACCCCGUGGUUGGUCUCACUAGCUGUGGAGCUCGCAAGCCUUGGCAUUCAUUCGCAUGCAACAGAUCUGAAUCAUAGAGCUGGGAAAGUUCAUCAGCUCUCGUCUGCUGAGAGGGAUGAGUUGAAAAGGCGAAAAAUGAUGUGGGCACUUUAUGUCAUGAGAGAUCCAUUCUUUGCCAGCUACACCAGGCGUCAUCUUGAGAAGGCUGAGAAAGCACUUAGUCCGGUGCCGCUUAUCGGUUUCAUCACAGGUAAACUCGUGGAACUAUUGGAGGGGGCUCAGUCGCGGUAUACAUAUACAUCAGGGUCGUAGAGGAGGAUUGGGAUAGAUUUACCUGCUUCUGCUGGAGAGCUUCCUUGCUGAUCUGCCAUACUGGACUUUUGCUGGUUCCUGGAUUUUGCUUUCAGUAGAUGAGGAUUUGAGCGAAACCCUGUCUUUGCUUUGCCAUUUCGUAGCCAGAUCUGGCAUCGCUGUCUCGAGACCUUGGCUGAUACGUUGCAGCCACAUAACCUCACCCCUGGUGGCAGCUGGGAAUGUAAUUAUACAGUACAUUGGUCUAAUGUCAUGAAUAGGCACGCAGCAAUACCGUCGUAUUUACCAGAAAUGAAAAUCAUAAUAAGUUUGUUCCUU